Molecule: ribosomal RNA, 123 nt
Filed under: Nomascus leucogenys (northern white-cheeked gibbon)
Lineage: Eukaryota; Metazoa; Chordata; Mammalia; Primates; Hylobatidae
Source: RNAcentral
GUCUGCAAACAUACCACUCCAAACAUGCUUGAUCUUGUCUGACCUCAGAAGCUAAGCAGGGUUGGGCCUGGCUAAUAUUGGAUGGGAGACGAGUGCUAACAGUUUAGGGGCUGGGUGCAGUGG